Molecule: ribosomal RNA, 213 nt
Filed under: uncultured bacterium
Lineage: Bacteria
Description: partial 16S ribosomal RNA
Rfam family: Bacterial small subunit ribosomal RNA
Source: RNAcentral
UACGAAGGGGGGCUAGCGUUGCUCGGAAUCACUGGGCGUAAAGGGUGCGUAGGCGGGUCUUUUAAGUCAGGGGUGAAAUCCUGGAGCUCAACUCCAGAACUGCCUUUGAUACUGAGGACCUUGAGUUCGGGAGAGGUGAGUGGAACUGCGAGUGUAGAGGUGAAAUUCGUAGAUAUUCGCAAGAACACCAGUGGCGAAGGCGGCUCACUGGCC